RNAcentral lists this long non-coding RNA (976 nucleotides) under Gallus gallus (chicken). RNAcentral describes it as "lncRNA (ENSGALG00010017044.1)". Lineage: Eukaryota; Metazoa; Chordata; Aves; Galliformes; Phasianidae. The record is from RNAcentral.
CACGCUUCUUCCUCCUGCUGUGUGGAUGGAGCAGACACCUGCCCGGCCAAAGGCAAACCCUGCAAAGCCCACGUGGUUUGAUUUCAGUGGAAUUGGUGUGGUUGCCCUUGACAGGAACACACAGAUGGAGGUAAACUUGGAACAACUUGUGACAUGGAAUCUUUGACGCCUGAUUUAAUUGCUGAUGAAGGUUGGUUUGUGCCAAAGUACUUCUCUAUGAAUCACAGUGGCUGAGGUGGGAUGGACGUUUUGUUCAGCUGCCCUGCUGUGGAGCCAGACCUCCUGGUGCACGGCCUGGGUGGACGGCUGAGCUUGGAACCCUUCAAACCAACACCGGAGCUGCUGCUGUUCCUCCUGCUGCCAAGAGCUCAAUUGUCGCACAGAUACUGGAGAUCUAUUGCCUAUUCAGAAGGCAGAGUGAAUUAUUCUUUGGUAUUUGCAGAACUAUGGCAACAGCCAAAAAUGUAAGAGGUGUAUUCGGGAUGAGAUGACCAAGAGAGUGAACAAAGCAAGCAAGCUGUUACAAGUAAUCUCUGAAACUGCGUGGGACAUCGCAACGUCUGGGAUGUCUGCUGGCACUGCAGAAAAGGACCGGAUUGCGAUGGGAGCUUCCCAGUACAGAGAGCUGAGCUCCUGUGUGCUGUGUCUGGUCCUGCUUUGCCACGCUGGACCCAGAUGAAAGCUGCUCCCAUCACACAGCAGAUGAAUACCAACUUGCGGGCACAGCGAGGACACCACCAGGACAAAGCACAGAGCUCCUGGGCAGCGUCCCAGCUCUGAGCAGUGUGCAGCAGGCAGGUGGCUGCUGAGAAGUGGGAUUCCUUAGGUGUGGUGCAGCCGCAUCCACGUGCUGGCACUGCCCAUCCUGCUUGUUGACAUUGCAUGCACAAAUCACAGGUGUGACAUCCGUAUGUUUCCUAAACAAUGUGUUGAAAGCAUGGUGGCUCGGGAAGGAUUUGUACAGCAGAGAGCAAGU